UUCAGACCGUAAACGAUGCCAUCUGGUAAUCCAUCGGUGUUAUACUUGACUCGAUGGGCGACCUACGGGAAACCUAAGCCAGGUUCCAGGGGAAGUAUGGUUGCAAAGCUGAAACUUAAAGGAAUUGACGGAAGGGCACCACCAGGAGUGGAGCCUGCGGCUUAAUUUGACUCAACACGGGGAAACUCACCCGGUCCGGACACCGUAAGGAUUGACAGAUUGAGAGCUCUUUCUUGAUUCGGUGGGUGGUGGUGCAUGGCCGUUCUUAGUUGGUGGAGCGAUUUGUCUGGUUAAUUCCGAUAACGAACGAGACUCUAGCCUACUAAAUAGCCGGUACUUCUUUACGAGUAUUGUGCUUCUUAGAGGGACAAGCGGCGUUUAGCUGCACGAGAUUGAGCAAUAACAGGUCUGUGAUGCCCUUAGAUGUCCGGGGCUGCACGCGCGCUACACUGAAGACAUCAGCGUGCAUAUCAACCUACUCCGGAAGGAGCGGGUAACCCGUUGAAACGUUUUCGUGAUUGGGAUAGGGAAUUGCAAUUAUUUCCCUUGAACGAGGAAUUCCCA
RNAcentral lists this ribosomal RNA (564 nucleotides) under Diphtherophora environmental sample. Its description in RNAcentral is "bacterial SSU rRNA". It matches the Rfam family "Eukaryotic small subunit ribosomal RNA", at positions 1024 to 1616 of the family's 1831-position model. Lineage: Eukaryota; Metazoa; Nematoda; Enoplea; Triplonchida; Diphtherophoridae. The record is from RNAcentral.